RNAcentral lists this ribosomal RNA (127 nucleotides) under Eubacterium sp. Its description in RNAcentral is "partial 23S ribosomal RNA". It matches the Rfam family "Bacterial large subunit ribosomal RNA", at positions 2799 to 2925 of the family's 2925-position model. Lineage: Bacteria; Bacillati; Bacillota; Clostridia; Eubacteriales; Eubacteriaceae. The record is from RNAcentral.
UCAAGAUGAGAUAUCCCAUUCGUAAGAAUUAAGACCCCUUGAAGACGACGAGGUUGAUAGGUCAGAGGUGGAAGUGCAGUAAUGUAUGUAGCUGACUGAUACUAAUAGGUCGAGGGCUUAUCCAUAA